RNAcentral lists this long non-coding RNA (387 nucleotides) under Capsella rubella. Its description in RNAcentral is "long non-coding RNA (CRUB_LNC001251)". Lineage: Eukaryota; Viridiplantae; Streptophyta; Magnoliopsida; Brassicales; Brassicaceae. The record is from RNAcentral.
UCAAUCACACACCGUCGUAUAGUUGUUUUGUUAUCUACAACAAAAAUAUGAUUGAUUUUGGUUUUCUUUCUAAAUUAUUUAUUUUAUGAAUAUGAAAACUUGUAAUGGCUAAAGGCUUCAAAAAUAUGUAACAUAUAGAUAAAUAAACGACUAAAGGCUUCACAAAAUCACAUCUUAAGAAAAGAAAAAAAAAAGAAAUGGUCCUCAGAAACGCAAAAGACAUAUUAAUUUGAUUGGUCCACCUGGAAACCGGCAAGGGGUGGUCAUGGCCACGUGGGAUUUGUGGUCCUUGUUGCGAUCAACGUGUCUCCUUCUGCCACGUGUUUUGAUCUACAAGUGUGACAGCCUGUUUCUCAUCAUCGAGCGUCCAAACCUUCGAAAAAAAAA